Molecule: long non-coding RNA, 312 nt
Organism: Beta vulgaris subsp. vulgaris (sugar beet)
Lineage: Eukaryota; Viridiplantae; Streptophyta; Magnoliopsida; Caryophyllales; Amaranthaceae
Exons: 2
Source: RefSeq, a predicted model, not a curated record
CCCCCUGUACUUGGUUAAUCCUAGCACGAGAUAAUUAAUUCAAGGCAUAGUACAACAGAUGAUUUAUUUUAAAUGAAGCUCAUGUAUACCCCCUUAGUUGACCUUAGAAGUUAGAACAUUGAAGUUCCUUUUCUACUUCAGACAUGUUCCAUAAUAACUCCAGAGAAGCCUUUAGAGGGUUUUCAUAUAGUUGAUGCUGCAAUGGAGCAGGAGGCUUUUUUGUCGUAAUUACCUUUGGAUUUUCAGUGUUAUUUAUGACAGAUUCAUUGUUAUAUCUUGCCUAUAUAAAUCUAAAGUGUGCUUAACUUUCUA